AGUGAACGCUGGCGGUAGGCCUAACACAUGCAAGUCGAACGGCAGCACAGUAAGAGCUUGCUCUUACGGGUGGCGAGUGGCGGACGGGUGAGGAAUAUAUCGGAAUCUACUUUUUCGUGGGGGUUAACGUAGGGAAACUUAAGCUAAUACCGCAUACGACCUACGGGUGAAAGCAGGGGAUCUUCGGACCUUGCGCGAUUGAAUGAGCCGAUGUCGGAUUAGCUAGUUGGCGGGGUAAAGGCCCACCAAGGCGACGAUCCGUAGCUGGUCGGAGAGGAUGGGCAGCCAGACUGGAACUGAGACACGGUCCAGACGCCUACGGGAGGCGGCAGUGGGGAAUAGUGGACAAGGGGCGCGAGCCUGAUCCAGCCAGACCGCGUGGGUGAAGAAGGCCGUCGGGUUGUAGAUCCCUGUUGUUGGGAAAGAAAAGCAGCAGGUUAAUACCCCGCUGUUCUGACGGUACCCAAAGAAUAAGCACCGGCUAACUUCGUGC
RNAcentral lists this ribosomal RNA (493 nucleotides) under uncultured bacterium. RNAcentral's name for it is "partial 16S ribosomal RNA". It matches the Rfam family "Bacterial small subunit ribosomal RNA", at positions 29 to 508 of the family's 1533-position model. The record is from RNAcentral.